This is an RNA transcript of Sorghum bicolor (sorghum), 1162 nucleotides long. It is a transcript of the gene named protein FAM133, with no coding region annotated. The record is from RefSeq and is a predicted model, not a curated record. NCBI's taxonomy places the organism in Eukaryota, Viridiplantae, Streptophyta, Magnoliopsida, Poales, Poaceae. The transcript has 5 exons.
CACCAACCAUCCAAUCAUAAUAACUCACGGCAGGCAGAGAGACGCGCACCAGACCGGAACGAAAGGGAUCUCCGGUUCCCGGCUCCUCCCCUUCCGAUUCCAAUCUGGUCUCGCCGGGCCUCGUGGCGAGGGAGAUAUGGGGAAGAACCAGGCGUACAAGGCGAUGCAGCGGGCGAGGGUGGGGUCCUCGUCCGGCGCGCCCGGCGCCGCCGACGCCCCCGAAGACGGCAUGCCCUAUUAGUAUGCUGAUUAUAUAUGGUAGAGUAGGAUUCCAGCUGUUGAGGAAUUUUGGCUAUCAUCCCACUUUCAGUUUGGGUGAAAAAUAAAGAAAAAGAACUUUGGCUAACGAGGGCCGUCGCAGACGGACGGUUCAUUUCAUUCUCCAGAGUGGCAUGCGGCGCGCCUGGCCAGCCUUAACAAGACGCACACCGUCACCUGGGAGGAGUUCAAGAAGAAGCAGAAGGAAGAGGAAAUGAAAAGGGGUGAGCUCGAGGCUGACAAAGAUAAAAUGAUGAGAGAGUAUAGAGCUCAACUGGAUGCAGAAAGAGCUCAGAAGCUAGCAAAUGGAAGAAAUCACUCGAGGUCAAACUCAAAAUCAUCAUCUUCCAAGAAAGAGAGGAAGGAUAAGGAUGCAAAGAAAAGAAGUAAAAAGAGGAGAAAGCACAGAAGUUCAUCGGAGUCAAGUUCGAGCUCAUCAUCAGAAUCUUCAAGGAGCGAUGAUGAGGAUAGGGGUUCAAGGAAGUCCAGAUCACGUUCGAGAUCGAAGAGAACAAAGAAGGAAAAGAAGCACCGAUCAAGGUCCAAGCGCGGCGACAGUGGAAGUGAGGAGGAAGGUCCAGUUCGCCUCUCUAAAUUCUUCGGGAAGUAAGGAGUAGAUACUGUACCCAAGACACCUUUUCAGUUUUCAUUUGGAACCAUAGAUUGGUGGGUUUGGAUGUAUCAUUCAAUACAGAUUACUUCUGAAGGUUGAGCGGAUCAUUUACGUUGAUGUUGUUCUCAAUAGAGUGCUCACCAGUUAAGAGUGUCUGGUUAAGUUGUGUGGCUUCAUGAAACUUUGUAAGCAACUGGUAAGUCAUUGUUAAAUUGCUGUACCUUAGAGGAUUUGAUGCCAAUAUUUGAAACAUUUGAGAAAUUGAACUGCUAUAUUUAUCUUAAGACUUCA